GACGAACGCUGGCGGCGUGCUUAACACAUGCAAGUCGAACGGAAAGGCCUGCUUUCCCUUGUGGAUUGCGGGUACUCGAGUGGCGAACGGGUGAGUAACACGUGAGUGAUCUGCCCCCAACUUGGGUAUAAGCCUGGGAAACUGGGUCUAAUUCCCGAUAGGACUGCAGGGUGGUGCCUGUGGUGGAAAACGAUUUUCUAGUGGUUGGGGAUGAGCUCGCGGCCUAUCAGCUUGUUGGUGGGGUAAUGGCCUACCAAGGCGGCGACGGGUAGCCGGCCUGAGAGGGUGGACGGCCACAUUGGGACUGAGAUACGGCCCAGACUCCUACGGGAGGCAGCAGUGGGGAAUAUUGCACAAUGGGCGGAAGCCUGAUGCAGCGACGCCGCGUGGGGGAUGACGGCCUUCGGGUUGUAAACUCCUUUCGACCGCGAGGAAGCCACCUGGUUGGAAGGGUGGUGACGGUAAUGGUAGAAGAAGCACCGGCUAACUACGUG
RNAcentral lists this ribosomal RNA (494 nucleotides) under uncultured bacterium. RNAcentral describes it as "partial 16S ribosomal RNA". It matches the Rfam family "Bacterial small subunit ribosomal RNA", at positions 28 to 507 of the family's 1533-position model. The record is from RNAcentral.